AUGCUGACGAGCUCAGCGGCCAUCCUACACAAACCCAGUCAUCCCCCCGCCUGCCCAGCUCCCUGGGGAAGCCGGCUGCAAUUCCUUACAACAACCAGAGGCAGGAUAUUUCCCCAACUUGUUCCCUCGUUCCCCGUGCAAGACAACAGGGAAAGCAAACAAGAUUUAAGGCAGCCAUCUCCGCAGCUCAGGGGAAUCAUUCCAAAGAUUAAAUCAGCGCUCUGCCAUCAGCUGAGCUUAGCACAUUGCAGCUGGUGCAGUCAUUUAACUCCGUGGCUGCCACAGCCCGGGUGUGCUGGGAUGACAGGCAAACCCCCACCAGCCACCGCCCAGCUCGGCUUGCUGGCAAAACGCAGCGCAAAGAGGAACUGAGACUUCUUUGACAACAGUUUCAACCAUUUGUGAUGUAUGUUUUCCUUUCAACAAUAUCAUCCAAACAAUGAAGAGGACUAGGAGUAUUAUGCACAAGUGGCAUUCCUUGUGGAGCAGCAACAGCAGCUCUGGGAAGAUAAUGUAAUCCAUCAGAGAGGAAACAAGCACUUUGUCCAAGGAAGGUCCAGUGCCAACACUUUGAUUGUUCAACUGAAUGUUUUUUAAAUUAAGUUCUCAAAGAAUGUAAGCGGAAUAUUUAUUGCAAACAUUACUCAAAAUAUAUUGUUUCUCAAAAAAAAUGAGGUUUAAUAAUAAGCAUCAAUAAACAGUUAAACUUUUUUGGUUAAGACA
RNAcentral lists this long non-coding RNA (723 nucleotides) under Anas platyrhynchos platyrhynchos (common mallard). Its description in RNAcentral is "lncRNA (ENSAPLG00000020743.1)". Lineage: Eukaryota; Metazoa; Chordata; Aves; Anseriformes; Anatidae. The record is from RNAcentral.